This 709-nucleotide ribosomal RNA is filed under the name Globisporangium intermedium. RNAcentral describes it as "partial 28S rRNA". It matches the Rfam family "Eukaryotic large subunit ribosomal RNA", at positions 81 to 628 of the family's 3401-position model. Lineage: Eukaryota; Oomycota; Peronosporomycetes; Pythiales; Pythiaceae. The record is from RNAcentral.
UAGUAACGGCGAGUGAAGCGGGAUGAGCUCAAGCUUAAAAUCUCUGUGCCAGUUUGGCAUGGCGAAUUGUAGUCUAUAGAGGCGUUGUCAGUGCGGCUGUGCGGGGUAAGUUCCUUGGAAGAGGACAGCAUCGAGGGUGAUACUCCCGUUUGUACCUGUGCGGCUUGCGCGUACGACACGUUUUCUUCGAGUCGCGUUGUUUGGGACUGCAGCGCAAAGUAGGUGGUAAAUUCCAUCUAAAGCUAAAUAUUGGUGCGAGACCGAUAGCGAACAAGUACCGUGAGGGAAAGAUGAAAAGAACUUUGAAAAGAGAGUUAAAGAGUACCUGAAACUGCUGAAAGGGAAGCGAAUCGUAUCCAGUGUCUAUAAUCUGCGGCAUAUUUCAUUGGCGGCGGUGUGCGUGCUUUUGCGUCGGAAGCGGCUUUUGUUGCUCUGUGCUUUUGCUGUGCGUGCUGUUGCUGGUGCCCUGUGUUGCGGUGGGACGUCAGAGUCAGUUUGUAUGCUGCGGGAAAUGGCUGCCGAGGAGGUAGGUCAGGAUUUCGGUCUUGGCUGUUAUAUCUUGGUGGUUUGUUGUCGUGGUUGAGACUGAGGUGCCUACAAUGUGCUUUUGAGUGUGCCGGGUUCUCAUUUGGUGGACUGUUUGGAUAGCUUGCUAUGCUUGUGGUUUUUUCAUCGGGUGAUUGAGUCUGGUGGUAACUUAUUGCCGUUC